Molecule: long non-coding RNA, 384 nt
Organism: Dipodomys ordii (Ord's kangaroo rat)
Lineage: Eukaryota; Metazoa; Chordata; Mammalia; Rodentia; Heteromyidae
Exons: 3
Source: RefSeq, a predicted model, not a curated record
CGGAGCGCAGGUCGCCCGCAGUGCUGCGCCUCCGUGGGAGUGCUUUACGGCUCAGUCACGCGUGGAGACUGGGUCCGCGGCGUGAGACCUGCCAGCAUCGGGCAGUUACGUUACUUAUAUGCAGUAACCAGAUGUGAACUGAACUCAAUUUGGGAGACAGAGAAAUGUGAGAAGUGUUUUUGCAUACCAAGUGGAAUUCAAUGCUGCAACAACUUCCUGAGUAGCUGAGACUACAGGAUGAACCAACAGACCUGCCUCAUUUUUGUUUCUGAAAUUUGGUCAGUAUCAUUACUCUUAAAGACUUAUAUUCAAAUAAAUAUCUAAAUGUUUAUUAAUGCUGUUCUAGAAGUUGUCCUGGUGGUCACCCUAGCCUUGAUCUUGGAG